CUCUGCGUCCUGAUCUGUCCCUGCUGUGGUUGUGGUUGGUCUUGUGGCCUAGGAACCUCCUUUUCUCCUGCCCUGUGACUGUUGCUUCUUCAUGACCCAUCUCAGAGGUGAUUUUCCCAGAUGGAAGGCUUUGAUGUGCGACAGAUGUUUUCAUACGGUGCUGAAGUUUUCUGUUUUCUGCUGGACAGGUAAUUAACUUAAAUUUGUCAGACUUUGGUGAUGUAAAUGAAAACUGUUGUUUGAUAUCUGUAGCUAGAAGCUCUCAGAGAUGUCAUGUCAGUGGUGUAAAAUAUGUACUUGGAUUAAUUUCAUAUAGUGUGUGUCUC
Long non-coding RNA from Micropterus salmoides (largemouth bass), 326 nucleotides. RefSeq lists it as uncharacterized. NCBI's taxonomy places the organism in Eukaryota, Metazoa, Chordata, Actinopteri, Centrarchiformes, Centrarchidae. The record is from RefSeq and is a predicted model, not a curated record. The transcript is spliced from 3 exons.